AAAGGAAUAGACGGGGGCCCGCACAAGCAGUGGAGUAUGUGGUUUAAUUCGAAGCAACGCGAAGAACCUUACCAGGGCUUGACAUCUACAGAAUCCUAUAGAGAUAUGGGAGUGCCUUCGGGAACUGUAAGACAGGUGGUGCAUGGUUGUCGUCAGCUCGUGUCGUGAGAUGUUGGGUUAAGUCCCGCAACGAGCGCAACCCUUAUCGUUAGUUGCCAGCAAGUAAAGUUGGGCACUCUAGCGAGACUGCCGGUGACAAAUCGGAGGAAGGUGGGGACGACGUCAAAUCAUCAUGCCCCUUAUGUCCUGGGCUACACACGUACUACAAUGGCCGUUAACAGCGGGAAGCGAAGCAGCGAUGUGGAGCGAAUCCCCAAAAACGGUCCCAGUUCGGAUUGUAGGCUGCAACUCGCCUACAUGAAGUCGGAAUUGCUAGUAAUCGCGGAUCAGCAUGCCGCGGUGAAUACGUUCCCGGGCCUUGUACACACCGCCCGU
RNAcentral lists this ribosomal RNA (495 nucleotides) under uncultured bacterium. RNAcentral's name for it is "bacterial SSU rRNA". It matches the Rfam family "Bacterial small subunit ribosomal RNA", at positions 903 to 1397 of the family's 1533-position model. The record is from RNAcentral.